CGCAGGCACUUGACUGAAACUGUCAAGCCCGCUCUAGCCUCCUUGCUUUAAAGCUCGUCAAGCCUGAAGCAGUGUAUCCUGAAACCUUUCUUCGCAGUCCAACGACUAGGGAAACAAUUGGAAUGACACCGUUCGUAAUUAUAAGGUCUAAUCUUGACUGUGCAGCCACCCUGUCUCAUAAAAAUCCAACCAGCUUGUUUUGUUCUCUUCUGCAUUAUGGGCAAACUAAUGAAGUCUGACAGAAAAACUAAAAUUACUUAAGUUAAACUUAAUCCAGAAAGUCUUCUUUGAUAUCCCACCUGGGCAGUGCCAGCUUGUGCAAAAGACUAAGUACACUGCAAGCUCUAAUUCUUGUGUGAGUAAGAGUUUCAUCUAAGGAAAGUAAGAGAAAUAAAGAGACUCCAAACUAGAACUACUGUUCCUAGAUACCUUCUAGUGAAGAACUUACAAAGAAACCAGUUCUUCUUAAAAAGAAUUGCUGUGAAGUGUGUAUUUUUGCAGUGCUGCUGAAAUGGCAACCCCUACAAAUAAUUUUUAUAUGGAAAAUAAUUUUCAAGAGCCAGGAUUGCUGCUUUAUGGGUUUGUUUGUUUGUUGUCAAAUAAUAAUAUGUACUUUGGAGCCUCAUCCUCUCAGUUUUAAAUAUGUGCUUUGAAGUUUCAUUCAUAAAUAUUCAGUGACAACUUGCUGAGCUUACAAAAUGAGCAAAACAGAUGUAGUUGCAGCAUGGCAGAGCUUUUAGUUUAUUGGGGGAAAGAGGUAAAAAAGAAAAAAAAGUAAACAAGCAAAUAACUAAAAUGAUGAAUUACAUAUGAAGAAGUAAAUAUUGUGAUAAGAUACAGAUUAAUGGAGGUGGGCAAGACCUACUUUAGAAGGGCUUGAUUAGUCUGCUAGGGCUGAGUGAUGUGAUAAAAAUAAAUAUUUGAUUUUUGUUCCAGUUUGCUGGCA
Odocoileus virginianus texanus is the source of this 946-nucleotide non-coding RNA. The record is from RefSeq and is a predicted model, not a curated record. Lineage: Eukaryota; Metazoa; Chordata; Mammalia; Artiodactyla; Cervidae.